Eptesicus fuscus (big brown bat) is the source of this 350-nucleotide long non-coding RNA. RefSeq lists it as uncharacterized. The transcript has 5 exons. The record is from RefSeq and is a predicted model, not a curated record. Lineage: Eukaryota; Metazoa; Chordata; Mammalia; Chiroptera; Vespertilionidae.
CUCACCAGGACCCUGUGAGUUGGGUACUGUUAUUCUUUCAUCUUACUGGUGAGGUCAUGAGGAAACUGAGGCACGGAGAAGAUGAAUUACUGGCCCAUGAUCACAAAACCAAUUACUUGCUCUGAGGGAAGCCAGUUGCCAUGUCAUGAAGUGUGGUCCAUGUGGUGAGAAAAUGAGGCCUCCUAGCCAACAGCUAGCAAGGAACUGAGGCAUCCUGCUUAUAGUCAUAAAACAGUAGCUGACUGGAUAUUGGGGAGUAGAGAUGAAGGAUUAUCAAGAGGCGAACGGACUUUUCCAGUGACCAGACCUGGCUACUGGGCCAAGGAGUGAUGCUGGGGUGGAUCCAGAAG